Coregonus clupeaformis (lake whitefish) is the source of this 1481-nucleotide long non-coding RNA. RefSeq lists it as uncharacterized. The transcript is spliced from 3 exons. Lineage: Eukaryota; Metazoa; Chordata; Actinopteri; Salmoniformes; Salmonidae. The record is from RefSeq and is a predicted model, not a curated record.
AGGAGGACAGAGGGCGACUGAGGGGUGGAGGUGUGGACUGUAUAUUGCACAGGUAACUAACCUAGUACAACCAUCCGGAAACAUUCUGUGUCGGUGCGCAGCGGUAAUCAUUCUGGUAAUUGCGAGGCUUAGAGACAGAACCCUGGCAGUUAAAAUGGUGCAGCAGGAAUGCACAGAGGAGUUGAUUGAUGUAAACUGUCUAGCAACGGAUGCUGAACAACACUGUCAACAUGGACCCACAACACUGAGAGAAAAGGAGGCAGAGUAAACAGGAGGAGAACAGAGAGGGCGACUGAGGGGUGGAGGUGUGGGUGAGAGAAUGCACAGCACUUCUAUUUCAGGCAUUGACCACCUGAUAACAACAGUGCUGAGUUGAUGGAAAUAUAUGGACGUCAUUUGUACCAGAGCAUGAGCAACAGAUACACCUCUGUACUAUAUAGGCAGAAUGUGGUGCUCAGGGUUAAUGGCUGUCGAGCCUGUUGUGGGCUAGGAUUUCCAGGGAAGAUGGAAAGCUAAGGCUUGUUUACUGAAAAACAACAAGCCCAUGGGAUUUUAUUUAUGGAUCAAAUGCAAUAUAUCUCAGUUGUUUCUAGAUAGCAGUGUCCCUGCUUUAUUUUUCUAUUCAGAAGACUAUUCAAAUAAUGUAUCCACCCAGUUGAUGUGUGUCCAGGCCAUGAAAUAGACAUAAAGCAAUAAGAAGGCCUGGUAGCUGGGUGUAAGUAACUAGAUCUACAUAGUAACAUGUCUAUUAUCAAUAACAGCAUGAGUAAAGGACAACUACGUUUCCUGCACUUGGUAAAUAGAUCACCAUUCAAUAAAACAUAAACUGUUACCAUUAUUUACAGUAUUCACAGCAGUACAACUGCUCUUGCCUUCUCUCUCCUUUGUGUACUAAGAAAGUAGUGAGCAGAGGGACACAGCUGAACGCUUCACAGCCAUAAAGCCAUGUGAAUGAGUUAGAGGCAUUCCCAUGCUCUACUGAUCUCUGCCGUUACCAAAGGGAUGACGUCACGGGACUUUCCAUCACAGCCACUAGUCCAUAUUAGAUUACAUGGGUUCAGUUCUCAGAGUAACAGCAUAAUUCUCAAGUUGGGAACCUGGCCGGAGGCAUAGUUACUAGCAUUCAGUUCUGAAUCUGGUGUAGAGGGCGGAGGCUGGUAAACAGUGACUUCUUUGAGGAAAAGAAGAGAGCUUCAAUGUCUGUUCUCUGAUAUCUCUUUCUCUUGUUAGUUAUUUUUACUGUUUUAUGUUUGGUUUUUCAUCAAUCUCUCUGUAUCACCCCUCUGUCACUGGUUACACAUCCCAAAGGGAAACCCCCCCCAUCUCCGGGGAACAGAGUCAUGUCAGGGAGUCACGUUGUUGCUGUAUAUGCACUGUACUGUUGAAUUCAAUGUGUUUUUUUUGUAUUUACUGCUAAUCCUUCUUGGCCAGGUCUCCCUUUUCUGGCCUCAAUGGGUCUUCCUAGUUAAAUAAAGGUUAAA